RNAcentral lists this ribosomal RNA (926 nucleotides) under Psychrobacter alimentarius. Its description in RNAcentral is "bacterial SSU rRNA". It matches the Rfam family "Bacterial small subunit ribosomal RNA", at positions 56 to 976 of the family's 1533-position model. The record is from RNAcentral. Lineage: Bacteria; Pseudomonadati; Pseudomonadota; Gammaproteobacteria; Moraxellales; Moraxellaceae.
UGCAGUCGAGCGGUAACAUUUCUAGCUUGCUAGAAGAUGACGAGCGGCGGACGGGUGAGUAAUACUUAGGAAUCUACCUAGUAGUGGGGGAUAGCUCGGGGAAACUCGAAUUAAUACCGCAUACGACCUACGGGAGAAAGGGGGCAACUUGUUGCUCUCGCUAUUAGAUGAGCCUAAGUCGGAUUAGCUAGAUGGUGGGGUAAAGGCCUACCAUGGCGACGAUCUGUAGCUGGUCUGAGAGGAUGAUCAGCCACACCGGGACUGAGACACGGCCCGGACUCCUACGGGAGGCAGCAGUGGGGAAUAUUGGACAAUGGGGGAAACCCUGAUCCAGCCAUGCCGCGUGUGUGAAGAAGGCCUUUUGGUUGUAAAGCACUUUAAGCAGUGAAGAAGACUCUUCGGUUAAUACCCGGAGACGAUGACAUUAGCUGCAGAAUAAGCACCGGCUAACUCUGUGCCAGCAGCCGCGGUAAUACAGAGGGUGCAAGCGUUAAUCGGAAUUACUGGGCGUAAAGCGAGCGUAGGUGGCUUGAUAAGUCAGAUGUGAAAUCCCCGGGCUUAACCUGGGAACUGCAUCUGAUACUGUCAGGCUAGAGUAGGUGAGAGGAAGGUAGAAUUCCAGGUGUAGCGGUGAAAUGCGUAGAGAUCUGGAGGAAUACCGAUGGCGAAGGCAGCCUUCUGGCAUCAUACUGACACUGAGGCUCGAAAGCGUGGGUAGCAAACAGGAUUAGAUACCCUGGUAGUCCACGCCGUAAACGAUGUCUACUAGUCGUUGGGUCCCUUGAGGACUUAGUGACGCAGCUAACGCAAUAAGUAGACCGCCUGGGGAGUACGGCCGCAAGGUUAAAACUCAAAUGAAUUGACGGGGGCCCGCACAAGCGGUGGAGCAUGUGGUUUAAUUCGAUGCAACGCGAAGAACCUUACCU